CCUUGUACACACCGCCCGUCACACCACCCGAGUUGGGUGCACCCGAAGUCACUGGUCUAACUAGCAAUAGGGGAUAGUGCCGAAGGUAUGCCUGGUAAGGGGGGUG
This 106-nucleotide ribosomal RNA is filed under the name uncultured bacterium. RNAcentral's name for it is "partial 16S ribosomal RNA". It matches the Rfam family "Bacterial small subunit ribosomal RNA", at positions 1379 to 1482 of the family's 1533-position model. The record is from RNAcentral.